Molecule: long non-coding RNA, 611 nt
Filed under: Homo sapiens (human)
Lineage: Eukaryota; Metazoa; Chordata; Mammalia; Primates; Hominidae
Description: non-protein coding lnc-NUP50-2:1
Source: RNAcentral
AGGUUGCAGCGAGCCACUGCACUCCAGCCUGGGAGGCAGAGUGAAACUCUCUCUCAAAAAAAAAAAAAAAAAAAAAAAGAUUGUUCUCCAAGAUAUUUUCUAAAAUUCCUGGACAAUGAUGACAUUAAUGAUUUGCAGGAGUAACCUGGGAAUUUCAAUGAAAGUGAGAUCCAAGAGUUUGGAACAUUCCUCUUCCACCCCCAACCCACCACCCUCAACCCAAGUUCCAAUCAAAAAGUCUGGGUGGUGGUGUGCUGGUACAUGUUUAACAACCGGCUCUUUGUGGAAGAAGUCCUGAUUCACAGUGCUUGCCAAUUUCCAUGGUGUAACUACUCCCACCAUGGCCAAUCAAGCUACCCUCUUGACAAAACUGAAUGAAGAGUUGGGGGCGACGUGUACCCUCAGUUCUCCUCAGCUGGCAUGAGCUGGCUCCUGCACACUCCCGAGUCUCAAAAAGAUGGGACUGCAAUACCGGUGUAAAUUAGUAGCAGAAACCCAAUUAACCAUAUAGCCUAUUGGAAGGAAUUCUCUGCAAACUAAAAGACAGGUGAUCAUGGAAAAAAAAAAGGAAACAGAAAAACAAAGAGCCAAGUCCCCAGUGCCUGUAUGGG